This 397-nucleotide long non-coding RNA is filed under the name Pan troglodytes (chimpanzee). RNAcentral describes it as "long non-coding RNA NONPTRT003205". The record is from RNAcentral. Lineage: Eukaryota; Metazoa; Chordata; Mammalia; Primates; Hominidae.
UUAGAAUCACAUGCAGAAAAUUUGAUACUGUUCAAGCAUCUGAGAGUCUUAAAAGUGGAAUUAUCACCAGUGAUGUUGGAGACUUAACUUUAAGCAAGAGGGGACUACGAACAUCAUUUACAUUUAGGAAAGUGAGGCAAACACCUUGUAACUGUAGUUACCCGUUGGUCUGUGAUAGCCAGAGGAAAGAGACUCCCCCCUCAUUUCCAGAGAGUGAUAAAGAAGCCUCACGGCUGGAGCAAGAGUACGUCCAUCAAGUUUAUGAAGAGAUUGCUGGGCACUUCAGCAGCACAAGACAUACCCCUUGGCCGCACAUUGUGGAGUUUUUGAAGGCUUUGCCAAGUGGUUCAAUAGUGGCUGAUAUUGGAUGUGGUAAUGGAAAGUAUCUUGGCAUCAA